AUAAGGGACUCUAAAAAAAAUAUUUUUAGAUUCCCAUCGUCUUCCGACGACCCCGCAGACCGGCGCAUCGAUCGCCGGCGAUGAAGGAAAUGGAAUCUCGAGACUGGCGAUGAGAUCAAGGCUGAUGGGGCGAUCGCGCCGACCAGGACGGAUCACAAGGUCCCUUCGAGUUGGACACCUGAGGAAGGCUUCGGAUCUCGGCGGAGCUCAAGCGCCUGGGGCAAGAAGAUCGGUUUUUUGAAAUAAAACUCCUUUAGCCCCUCUCUUUCAUUUUGAAAUGAUUUUGAUAGAUCUCGCGUUUUUUACUUCCGUUUUCUUAUUUAAAUUCUCAUUUGGAUCUUAACUCGCUAUCGAUCGAUGAUGUACAUUUUCAAAAUUGAUUAGGAACUUAGGGAUGCUAAUUCUUUCGUUUAUCCGCUAAAGUUCAUGCGCAUUGACGCAGAAAAACAAAAGUGAUUUUUUCUGCUGACACGAACGAAUUUGGUCUGUUUGAAUGAGAUCGAAGAUUAUGAACAUCCUUUUUGGUACCUGCAAUGCAGUCACUGAUAACAAAUAUCACAUUUCUGAUUUUGUUUGUUGUUCUGAUCAUAAUCUGACAUUCCACAAGUUUAUCAAAAACAAAAUGGUGUUUUAAUGCUGGUCUGCUUUGCAGUAACUGGUGACAUAUAUCAUAGUUCUAAAAUUGUCUGUUGUUCUAAUUACAAGUUAACAUGUCACAAGGUUGUCAUGGCGCAGGAGUCCUUUUUACUACUAGUUCUUGCUAAUGCCGUAACAUGCCAUUUUGUUUCUAUACAUCCAGUUGGAACUUUAAGGAUGUUUCUUUUUGUUUAGCAUGUACCAAAAACAAGGAAACUUGGUCCUGAUUCUUUUGUAGACUACACAAAGGUGAAAGAUGAAGGGUCCAUAGAAAGGACGCAUAUAUUGAUUUGGAUUCACAGUUAAAUGGUGGCAAGUAGAAAAUGACAAUAGGAUGAGACCAAUCUUUAGCUGUGGGUCUUGACAUAUAAAUACCACAUGUACUGGGGUUCUUUUUUUUGAUGUAAAACAAUAGAUCUCUAAUGGAAAAAAGGCAGAUUGUACAUGGUUU
Zingiber officinale is the source of this 1087-nucleotide long non-coding RNA. RefSeq lists it as uncharacterized. The transcript has 2 exons. The record is from RefSeq and is a predicted model, not a curated record. NCBI's taxonomy places the organism in Eukaryota, Viridiplantae, Streptophyta, Magnoliopsida, Zingiberales, Zingiberaceae.